This 299-nucleotide signal recognition particle RNA is filed under the name Aotus nancymaae (Ma's night monkey). Its description in RNAcentral is "Metazoan signal recognition particle RNA (ENSANAG00000000562.1)". It matches the Rfam family "Metazoan signal recognition particle RNA". From Rfam's summary of the family: The signal recognition particle (SRP) is a universally conserved ribonucleoprotein. It is involved in the co-translational targeting of proteins to membranes. The eukaryotic SRP consists of a 300-nucleotide 7S RNA and six proteins: SRPs 72, 68, 54, 19, 14, and 9. The record is from RNAcentral. Lineage: Eukaryota; Metazoa; Chordata; Mammalia; Primates; Aotidae.
GCCGGGCAUGGUGGCGCGUGCCUGUAGUCCCAGCUAUUCGGGAGGCUGAGGUUGGAGGAUCGCUUGAGCCCAGGAGUUCUGGGCUGCAGUGCGCUAUGCCAAUCGGGUGUCCGCACUAAGUUCGGUAUCAAUAUGGUGACCUCCUGGGAGAUGGGGACCACCAGGUAACCUAAUGAGGGGUGAACCGGCCCAGGUCGGAAAUGGAGCAGGUCAAAACUCCCGUGCUGAUCAGUAGUGGGAUCGUGCCUAUGAAUAGCCACUGCACUCCAGCCUGGGCAACAUAGCGAGACCCCAUCUCA